UUCAUGUUGAACAAGUGAUCGGACUUUUUCUUGAUCGAGCGAUAGGAUGAGUAUUCUUUGGCGAAAACCAAGGAACGAUCAUCAAAACUCCAAAUGGAUCGUGUUGGCAAGGUGUGAAACAAUCUUGCUCCUCACUUGUAAAGUGGUGGCGAAUAUUUUGCACAUAAAGGCAUCAUUGUUUCGAUAAAGGACCAUCGUGCUUCAAUAGUGCUUCAAUAGUGUUUCAAUAGUGCUUCAAGUGCCUAUCCGGAUCUCCAUCUUCUUUGGUGACUACUUCUCUCUGCCCAUCGUGCUGCUUACUCCGAUGAGAUGUGGAGGUUGCUCCUUG
RNAcentral lists this long non-coding RNA (328 nucleotides) under Malus domestica (apple). RNAcentral's name for it is "long non-coding RNA (MDOM_LNC002879)". The record is from RNAcentral. Lineage: Eukaryota; Viridiplantae; Streptophyta; Magnoliopsida; Rosales; Rosaceae.